Long non-coding RNA from Ipomoea nil (Japanese morning glory), 99 nucleotides. RefSeq lists it as uncharacterized. The transcript is spliced from 4 exons. The record is from RefSeq and is a predicted model, not a curated record. Lineage: Eukaryota; Viridiplantae; Streptophyta; Magnoliopsida; Solanales; Convolvulaceae.
GAAAAGAAAGAGACAUUGGUGACAUUGAUUUCACCAUAGUGACAAAGAAUUAUAGCCUUGUUUCUUAAAGAUACAAGUACACUGAACAAUAACCUCAGU